RNAcentral lists this long non-coding RNA (760 nucleotides) under Amphimedon queenslandica. Its description in RNAcentral is "uncharacterized LOC109588985, transcript variant X2". Lineage: Eukaryota; Metazoa; Porifera; Demospongiae; Haplosclerida; Niphatidae. The record is from RNAcentral.
GACACUUAACUAGUUAUUUUAUAAUCAUAAAUCCAACAUCAAAGGAGACAUACAUUGCUUAUAUUUUUGCUGGCUCUCUUUCUUUAUUGACGCUCAUGCUUUUAUUUGUGAAUUUGAUUUUUUUGCAGGAAGAAAGCUUGGAGGAUCUAUGAGGAUUACAUUAACUUGUGCUAUAUAUUCUAAACUUUUGAAGCUAAGCCAGGUUACAAUAAGUAGUGUCACUAUGGGACAUGUGAUUAACAUUGCUUCAAAUGAUGUUCACAGAUUUGAUGAGGGCAUAGUGUAUUUUGCUUUCUUUGUUGCAUGUCCACUUCAUGUUGGAGCAGUGACUUAUUUACUCUAUGGAAGACUCCAAUGGGCAACAUUUAUACUACUAGGACUGCUACUAUCACUAAUCCAACUUCUAAUUACUUUUACUCAAGGCUAAGGUUUAAAGCAGCUAGAGUAACUGAUAAUAGAGUUAAAGUGAUGAAUGAAGUCAUCAGUGGAAUUAGAGUCAUUAAAAUGUACGGCUGGGAAUAUGCUUUCAGUAGACUAAUAGCAAGAAUAAGAAGUUUUGAAGUUGAUUGAAAGUACCACCGACAAUACGUUAGCAUCUAUUGAACCAAAGCAAGCCUCAGUAUUAUAUUGAUGGACUUGAUCCUGAUUGACAAGGUCCAAGAAUUGUACAAGAUAUACUUGCAAUACAAAUCAUAUGUAGAACAAAGGUUUAAGAUACUGUAUGAGAUGGGGCAGUUAGAACAAAAGAGGUAAUUGUAUU